RNAcentral lists this ribosomal RNA (506 nucleotides) under uncultured bacterium. RNAcentral's name for it is "partial 16S ribosomal RNA". It matches the Rfam family "Bacterial small subunit ribosomal RNA", at positions 30 to 523 of the family's 1533-position model. The record is from RNAcentral.
AUUGAACGCUGGCGGCAGGCCUAACACAUGCAAGUCGGACGGUAGCACAGAGGAGCUCGCUCCUUGGGUGACGAGUGGCGGACGGGUGAGUAAUGUCUGGGGAUCUGCCCGAUAGAGGGGGAUAACCACUGGAAACGGUGGCUAAUACCGCAUAACGUCGCAAGACCAAAGAGGGGGACCUUCGGGCCUCUCACUAUCGGAUGAACCCAGAUGGGAUUAGCUAGUAGGCGGGGUAAUGGCCCACCUAGGCGACGAUCCCUAGCUGGUCUGAGAGGAUGACCAGCCACACUGGAACUGAGACACGGUCCAGACUCCUACGGGAGGCAGCAGUGGGGAAUAUUGCACAAUGGGCGCAAGCCUGAUGCAGCCAUGCCGCGUGUAUGAAGAAGGCCUUCGGGUUGUAAAGUACUUUCAGCGGGGAGGAAGGCGGUGAGGUUAAUAACCUCGCCGAUUGACGUUACUCGCAGAAUAAGCACCGGCUAACUCUGUGCCAGCCGCCGCCGUAA